Molecule: ribosomal RNA, 297 nt
Filed under: Triticum aestivum (bread wheat)
Lineage: Eukaryota; Viridiplantae; Streptophyta; Magnoliopsida; Poales; Poaceae
Description: partial small subunit ribosomal RNA
Rfam family: Eukaryotic large subunit ribosomal RNA
Source: RNAcentral
AUGGAACAAUGUAGGCAAGGGAAGUCGGCAAAACGGAUCCGUAACUUCGGGAAAAGGAUUGGCUCUGAGGACUGGGCUCGGGGGUCCCGGCCCCGAACCCGUCGGAUGUCGGCGGAUUGCUCGAGCUGCUCACGCGGCGAGAGCGGGUCGCCGCGUGCCGGCCGGGGGACGGACCGGGAAUCGCCCCUUCGGGGGCUUUCCCCGAGCAUGAAACAGUCGACUCAGAACUGGUACGGACAAGGGGAAUCCGACUGUUUAAUUAAAACAAAGCAUUGCGAUGGUCCUCGCGGAUGCUGA